AUUGAACGCUGGCGGAAUGCUUUACACAUGCAAGUCGAACGGCAGCACGGACUUCGGUCUAGUGGCGAGUGGCGAACGGGUGAGUAAUGUAUCGGAACGUGCCCAGUCGUGGGGGAUAACGUAGUGAAAAUUACGCUAAUACCGCAUACGAUCUAUGGAUGAAAGCGGGGGAUCGCAAGACCUCGCGCGAUUGGAGCGGCCGAUAUCAGAUUAGGUAGUUGGUGGGGUAAAGGCCCACCAAGCCAACGAUCUGUAGCUGGUCUGAGAGGACGACCAGCCACACUGGAACUGAGACACGGUCCAGACUCCUACGGGAGGCAGCAGUGGGGAAUUUUGGACAAUGGGCGAAAGCCUGAUCCAGCCAUUCCGCGUGCAGGAUGAAGGCCCUCAGGUUGUAAACUGCUUUUGUACAGAACGAAAAGGUUUCUACUAAUACUAGGAGCUCAUGACGGUACUGUAAGAAUAAGCACCGGCUAACUACGUGCCAGCAGCCGCCGUAA
This 500-nucleotide ribosomal RNA is filed under the name uncultured bacterium. RNAcentral's name for it is "partial 16S ribosomal RNA". It matches the Rfam family "Bacterial small subunit ribosomal RNA", at positions 30 to 523 of the family's 1533-position model. The record is from RNAcentral.